GGAGGACGAGGUCGCGUAACUGCCAUGGCGACGACCUACAAAGUGACUCUGAAAACUCCCGAUGGACCCGUCGAGAUGGAAUGUCCCGAUGAUGUCUACCUUCUCGACUACUUCGAGGAAAAAGGAAUCGAUCUACCGUACUCUUGCCGUGCCGGAUCUUGCUCGUCUUGCGCAGGGAAGGUUUUGUCUGGUGAGAUUGAUCAAUCCGAUGGAAGCUUCCUCGACGAUGAUCAAGAGCAGGAAGGCUGGGUGCUCACCUGCGUCGCCUUCCCUAGGUCCGAUUGUGUUAUUAAGACCCACAUGGAGAAUGAAAUGGAUGACUAAUUUAGUACCGUCCGUCGUCACCAGAGGAAACCUCUGUUCCGUCCUUUGUGUUAUUAAUUAAUAUCCUUUUCUAUUUAAUGUCUUUUUAAUUCGUGUAUGUUUAUUUUCAUUUCAUUAAACAAUGUUUUUAUAAAGUUACUGAGGGUCGGUCUAAGAUUUUAAUAUCUUUAUUUACUUAAUUUUCAUUCUCAUGUAAUCGAUGAUAAUACAUCUCAAGGUCAAGGUACAUAUUUUUACUUGAAGAAAAACAUUUAUAAACUAUGAUUUUAUUUAUUUUUGAUGAAGAAUCGGAUAACUGAGGAGCGUGAGACCGGAGGUAAGCGAGGAGGAGGUGAGGAGUGUGCAGAGAGUUGGCAACGACAGAGUCGAUUUUCGGAAGUUCGAGAGGUGAGACAAGCUCUAGGGUUUCUGAGAAAAUAAUAGACCUUAAUAUUUGACUUUAUAAAUUAACUCGAUUAAUUAUUAUAACUAUAUGGUAAAUUUCAAGUGAAAACCAAUAUAAUUUGGUUUUAAUUACAUAACAUAAUUACAUAACAUAAUUAAAAUCGUUGAAUGUCAAUAUGAGUGUAAAUGAGUCUGGAUCCAGGUCUGAGACUACUUUUAGCUCUAUUAAAAGUUUUGGACCUAGAGGUCCCAGUUCAGAUUAACUAGACUCGGUCAGAUAUUAUAAAUGUUUAUAAUAUGUGAGCAACUUAGGAUUUAAAUAUAAAUAUUUUAAUAUAUAUUAGUAGCUUAAAUAUAAAUAUAUCAAAAAUAUUUAAAUAACCUUAUAUAAAUUUUAACUAAUUAACUCUUAUUUAAUUAAAUAUUUAACUUUGUUGUUAUUUUUUAGUUGUUACUUUUCAACUUUCAAAUGUUUUAAUAUUAUUGGCCUUAAAUUGCUAUUUUUAUUUUAUGUUUAUUGAUUUUAUUAAUUAUUUUUGUAUAUUUAUUGAUUUUUUUCAGGUAACAAAAAAAUCAUAUAUUGGACCCGGAUCCGACUCAUAUCUGGAUUUUUUAGGAGUCCAGAUUCAGAUAUUUUCAUUUUAGAUCUGGAUCCGACCCAAACCCGGGCCAACUUCAUGAGUCGGGGUCUGGAUCUAGGCCAACCAGCUCAGACUUGGACCAUUUACACCCCUAAAUGUCAAUGUGGCUUCUAAAAAGAUAAAAACAAGUUGGUGGAAUUAAAUAAAAAUAUUAAUUAAUGAGAAAGAUGAGUAUGUGAUUGCAAAUUACCAAUAUUUAUUUGACUUAAAUAAUAAUAUCGGUUAAUGGAUUAUUUAUUAUCACUUUCGUCCUCUGACAAUAGAACUCGAAGUUCCGUCAAAUAAUCCAUCGAUACAAUUUUCCAAAUCCUCAGGGGCAAAUUUGAUAUAUCUCUCAGGGUGUUUUCCAGAUUCUAUGUACUGUCUGAACCUUCCGAGAAACGACCUAUACGCCGGAACCACCACCGCCUGCACCGACACUCUAAGCUCCGACUGUAGUUGCUCGUCGCUCAAGAUCCACGUGCUCUGCGUCUUGUAUAUAUCUUCGAAGAUAGAAUUGAAGAGCUUGAAUCUCUCCCUCAACGCCGAUUUCGAAACUGCACCGGUCGACGACGACGUUCCUUUUAAACGCAGACCUUCUUCUUUGAAACAGUUCAGAACUUUUCCCCAUGUUUCUCUUUGGUAGUUCUUGUGGUACUGUCUCAGUUCGGAGCUCUUCUUCCGGCACCAAUUCUCGCCGAGGAGCUCCUUGAUCUCCGACCAACUUUUUAUCUUCUGCACUAUGUACCUCCCGUUGUUCAUCAGGAAGAUGUAGCUCAACGAAGGAUCCUUGUACAGAUUCGAAUUCCGGUCAAGACUCGUGUCGAGGAGGUUCAUUAUUGCCAUCACUUGCUCCGAGAACGAUACCGGCGUGCUUUGUCGAUAAUCACCGACGUCGCUGCUUUCUGAUUCGUGACGCUCUUUGAACACCUGUAUAAAGGAUCGGUAUAUGGUAUAUCAGAGUUGAUGGUAUCAGAGUUCAGACCAUCAUCGGAGUGAAUGAUCAGUACCUGUUCUAAAGUGUUCUUAUACUCGAGGGCGUACUUGAGGUAGUUCAUGACGUAACGGGUCAAAGGAUGUACUGCGCCACCGGGGACGGGAAUCCGACCGUUGUCGCAUUUUAUGGAAUUCUCGAGAUCGGUGAACAUUCCGAUGAUGGGUUUUCCGAUAUGAAUUUUGGCGGCGGACAUUUCGCAUUUCAACUCCGUUGAUGGGAGAGAUCCAUCUUCUUCUUCUUCUUCUUCUUCUUUUUCUUUCUGAUCAUGUUGUUUACCGUGGCCGGAGAAUAGUUUGUUGAGUGUCGGAGUAAGGUCUCGCAUGGUCUCGUACAUGUCAAGGAACUUGAACAGUUUCUCCUCGGAUCUCUUCGUCAUGGUAACAUGCUCCGUGAAAUUAAGUAACUUGAUAACCACGCCACGAACAAGAUUGCUGAACAGUCCGUCGGAAACCGUCGAGUAGUGAUCGGAGAAAACCUUCUCGCAGAGAUCUCUCUCUGUCGGAAACGAAACAGACACCAUAUGUUUGAAAGCCAUGAUCCACGAUGCUAUCUCAGAUUCCAACACAUCCCACGCCAUAUUCUGUAGUUCUUCUGGCUGAAUCUUCCCGAACCCAAUCUCCAUCAACGUCGCUUCGAUCUUACCACGUCUAACGAUGCUGAACACUUGGCAACAAUCGGUGUCGUAUCCGGCGGCUAUCAUGAUAUUGGCUAUCUUUUUCAGUCUCUCCAAAACAUCACCUUCCAAAAUCUCCGAUGAGCUAUCUUUAUCGUCACCAACUUCUUCCAACAACAACCGGAAUUCCUCCUCAAGAACCGCCAUGGUACGUUGGAGGACACUGACGGUGUGAAUUAUAGCACGACCGUAGGAGCUGUUCGACGGAAACUCUCCCAGCGCGGUGGUGAGUUUCGACACUUGUUCCAAUGCUAGGAGAAGAGAUGAUAAAUCUCCUCCAUCGCCGCCGUUAUUAUUCUUUUCGUGGUAAAGUUUGACUGUCACCUCUUUUUCCACGAAGGCGAUGACGCGGUUGAUGGUGGAGAUGGGCGCUUCUGGAAGAUCUUUCCGGGUAUCGACGACAGUAUUCGGUGGUGGAAUGAUGGAGAGGAACUUGCCUAUAGUACGGAUAUCUUCUAUGACGUCGGUUUUAAUAUUCUUAUCGACGUCUGUACUGAUGUUGUUCAUGGAGAGACCUGCCGGAGAAACAAAAAAUCGAUCGGAAAAGCUAGAUUUACCUUCUACUUGCACUGUUUUUCUUCUUCUUCUUCUUCUUCCGCUUCUUCCUCGUCCUAUCCGCCGCCUUCUAAAAAAUCAAGCAAAGAGGGAGAGGCGGGGAAUAGGAGGCGGCGGAAAGCAAGGGAGAAACACACGACAUGCUAAACUUAACUAACUAUAAUAGUUAGUGGUGUGAUCGUGCGGUGCAAUCUUUAAAUAUCCUAUUGCUAAUUUUGCUAAACCAAGCUCGGUCGGCAGUUGAGCUCAAGCUUACUGAUUUUGCUAACAUGGACAAUUGCUAAACGACGGAUCUGGUAGAGACCUUAUUGAGUUCGUUGAUGGCUCAAUAGUGACACCUCCAAAUUGCCAAAAUUUAUUGAUGCAUCAGGGAGGGAACGCAUGGGAAUUAAAUGAAAAAUUAAACCCUAAGCGCACCGACUACUAAAAGGUUGGAUUACUAGUCGACUUUUUUCAACAACUCUGAGUUUGAUUACUGAAAUAGAGACAUCAAAAGAGGUAUGGGACACCUUGAAAAAUGCGUGUGCACAAGAUUUAAUUGAGAGUUUUUAUUAAGGGGAAAAAAUACAACAAUUAAAAAAAAACUUUAUGUUUUGAGGAUUCAAGACCACUAUAUUAAUGGUCUGAAAAUGUUUUUUUGAUGAAUUAAGCUUGAUAGAGAGAGUGCUUGGAGAUGUAGAGAAGACAUAUUGUCUAUUGCAAGGAUUGGGGGAUAGUUAUGAGUCGUUCAAGACUGUUACAUUAAAACCACCAGUUCCACCCUAUAAUUCUGUGGUGCCUCAACUGAUCAGUUACGAUUUAAAGAAUGGAUUAAUAAUUAAAAAAAUCUUGAUCUUUUUUAUAUGGAUAGGAAGAAUAGAGGAAAAUUUUAUAAAAAUAAAGGAAAAGAAAGAAAACAAGAAUUUAACUCAAAAGGUAAAGGUUUUAAACCUCGUUGAUCUAAUGAAGGCUGGAAACAGUCCAAAGGAAUAAGGUCGGAUGGUAGGGUUUUAUGUCAAAUUUGUAAGGGGCCAGGUCAUCAAGCAAUAGUUUGCCCUAGCAGAUUUGAUCACUCAGUACAAGCUGAUGAUCUUCAUCGUGAGAUAUAUGAAUGCUUUACAUAUGUCAGGAGAAUCUUUAGCUCAGGAAUGGCUAGCAGACACGGGAGCUGCAACACAUAUGAUAUACAAUGAAGGUAAUCUUGAUUCCUUCAAAUCCUAUACUGGAAAAAAAAUGUGUAAAAGUUGAAAAUGGAAAAGAAUUAGAUAUCUCAUUUAAAUGAGAUAAAAUUAUAAUGUUAGAUAAUGAUAAAAUUUCGAAAGGUAUAUUUUUAGGCAAUUUGGAAAAAAAGAAAAAAAAUUCAAUGUGAUGGUGGAGGUGAGUUUUGCAAUAAUAAAUUACAAAAUCACUUUAGAAAUAAGGGUAUAAAAAUACAAAUGUCAUGUCCUUCAACUCGCCAACAAAAUGGGGUAGAUGAACGAAGACAUAAAACUAUUAGGGAACAUGGACUAUCCCUAAUGUUUCAUAGUGAAAUUUCACAAAACUUUUGGGUAGAGGCAUUUGACACUGCCAUUUACCUUAUGAAUAAAACUCAUUCAGUUUCUUUGGGAAAUGUCUCACCAUUUGAGAAAUUAUAUGAGAAAGAGUUCAAUUUUAACAAUCUUAAAAGUUUUAAAUGUGUAUAAUGUUAUCCCUACAUCUGGGAUACUAAAAUAAAUAAAUUCAGUCCUAAUUAGUCACUACCUUGUGUGGUGAUAGGGUAUAUGAAAAAUACAAAAGUUUUAUGUUUUUAAAUAAUAAAACAAGAAAAUUAAUUAUUUCUAAGCAUGUGGUAUUUGAUGAGGUCAAAUUUUCAUUUAGAAAAACAACAAAAAAAUAAUGAAGUAGAAGAUGUCAGUCAAGAGAAUGAAAUUACAAUAUUCUCUGAACUAGGAGACAUAGCAGGAACAAAAAUGCUCUGUUUAAUCCAGAGGUUGGGCCUCUAGAUAAAGAACAUGUUGAUUUUGCUAACAAACCGUUCCCGAGAUCGCCAAAUCAGGCUCGGCGAGCUCAAGUUUGGACAAUUGAAAUCUGAGCUUGCCUUUAUAAGCAAAAACUGUUAAAUUUCAAGUUCGAGUUCGAGCUCAAGCUUGCUGAUUUUGCUAACGAGUUGAGUCAGAGUUCGGACAAACCAGGCUCAGCGAACUCGAACCAGGACAAUUGUUUAAAGAGAGGAGUCUGAACCCGUCUUUAUAAGCAAAAAAUUGGUUUGACUUGUUUGACACCCUAUAUGGUAUGCAAAAAACAUAAAAAAAACAAUUGCUUUUUAUGCAUUAAAGAACCCCCAAAUUCUCCCCCCACAACCUGAUGCGAAACAGGACGGGUCCAAGAUGACCCCCUAACUACGGUAUAUUACUUGAAAAUAGAUAAAACAUAACUCGAUUAGUUCGAUGAUAACUGUCACUAUUAAGGUAGAUAGACUGUUAGAAUAUUAGUUGAUGAGGGUGGAUCCUGAUCAGUGUUAGACGAUUCUUCAAACAAGCGUUGGAUCAGAAACUCCAUGAAAAUCAGCUCGCGUUCUUCAGUUGCUUAAGAAUUUCUCUCUUGAAUACAACCUACCCGAAUGAAUGAAAGUGGCCCUCUAUUUAUAAGGCAGAUACCUUAUGAGGAUAAUCUGGUAAUUAGGGUCGUAACCGUCUAACUGCUUAGAUCUGACUCCAGGUCGACUUUUCUAGAGGUCGACUUUCCCUGUUCGACUUCCUGGAGUCGACUUUUGGAAAAGUCGACAUGAAAAAGUCGACUUGGAGCCUCCCAUAACCUAUACAGGUGUUUCCAUCAAUUCUGGGCUAUCUGAAUCUCUGAUUGUUGGUGUCGUGACCAAGUCUCGGAUACUGUAUCUCACUAGUAUCUCUCCUUCAUUAUGUACUAGGUUUCAUGAGGGAUGCUUACGGGUACUGUUAAUGCGAUCUGUAUGUCAGAUCCCGUAUUACCAUUAGUAUAUGCAGUUUAAUUUCUAUUUACUAUUGUUUUACGUACCUUAUAAAAAACCCUGAUGUAGAGGCAAAAAACCUAAACACACCUACCAAAAGUCAACCUCUUUUUAAGUGUCCCCAAAACUCUAUUUAUAGAUCGUCUCGUGGACUUGCGGAUCUGAGCCAACAAAAGCCUAGGCUUCGUAAUUGUCGAGGUCUACCCGAGAGAAUGCAUGGUUCGACAGCCGAAUCCAAUGGGCUAACAGAUGUUCUUGUGACCUCACCUGCGAAGGUUGGGCUUGAGCCCAACAUUUGGGGUAUCAUCAAAAACCAAAAUUCAUAGAUUAAAUCUUAAGUGGUCCAGACUAAUUACUCACCUUGAAUAGAUAGAUCUAAGUCAGACCCAAACCCAAACCCAGACCAAGACCAGACCCACCAUAAGUAAUUACAGUAUCGACCAAUUUCUACACUACAGAUUGACAGCUAACAAUCCAUAAUAUUUGAAAUGGAUCAUUUUUUUGUUUGAAUAGAUUUGUAAAUGGAUCAUGUUGUUUGUUGGUUGAAUCAAAUGGUUGAAAAUCAAUCGACAAUGUAAUAAGGUUUGAGCCCCCACACAUGCGACCAUUCAUUAGACAAAUAUUAGACAUUCCCAACAUGGUGCGUUUCUUAAGUCAAACUUAAUUGAUAUGUUUUUUUUCUCUCGAAAAGAUUAUCACCACUACAGAAUCUAAAUAAACAACAUGGUAAUUUCAAAAUUUGUCGGAACAAUAAUUCAAAAUACUCUGAUUAUAUUAUCUAAUUCUAAUAUAUCAUCCGAAAUUAACAUUAUAAAUCUUUCAAAUUUGACUUUCCGAUUCUCGACCCAGUUCAGUUCAGUUCAGUUCGAGUUGAUAAGCAUGAAUAAUAAUAUUGAAAAGAAUAGUUGAACAACUCGUGUCUUGGUAUUUUAAAUUUGGUAAAUUUGUCCCUUUGCAUCUAUUUAAUAUCUAUCUUCCAUUUUUUAAUAAUGAAACUCUAUAGUUUUAGGGAAUAUUCCCAAACUUUAAGUAUUCUAUGUUUUCUUUCAUGAUCAAACAAUUUUAUGAUUAUAUACACAAUUACUGUUAAAAUUUCUGAAGAUUCUGGGUUCAAAUUUUACUGUAUAUAUUUUCAUAUAAGUCUGUUUUCUAGCAUAAUCUGUUGUUGUAAGUCUGUUUUCUUGUAGUAUAUUAAGAUUUUUCGCUAAAAUUAUAGGAGUUUUUCUUUGUGAUGUUCUAUCAUAACUGAUGUUUAUUUUUACCAACUUGGUCGGCUCGACGACUAGCUCUUUCCAGUUAUCGGCUAGAUUUUUGUGUGAUAUAGAUAGAUAGAACUUUAAAUAAAUAUCUCUUGAAUUUAUUGCAAAGUGAAAAAGAUAGGAGGCUUAACACCCAACGUCCAAUAAUCAUUUGCAAUUCAGAUUUUAAGUUUUGUUAAUAAUAUCUCACCUGAUCGUUCUUAUCUUUUUUUUUUGAAAGGAAAAUUAAUAUCAAUUUUAUAGAUGUCUUAUCUUAUAAAAUAAGAUAUUUGAUUUUCAGUUGCAAAGGACAAAAAAAAAUUAAUAAUGGAUCGCGAAAUAUCUUGGAUUUAACAAUAUCUCGCGAGAUUUCUCAUAGAUUUCAAAAAAAUCAGAAUAAAAGUGUGUAAGACCAUGAGACAUGGUAUCAGAAUUAAAUUACAUGGUAUUCAUAUGAUAUGAAUAAAAUAAAUUUAUUGAAUGAGAUUCUAUCUGUGCUAAAAGAGUAAUAAAGAUGAUUUGAAUAAUAUUUAGGAUUUUUUGUAUUUUCAUCUUUCAUUAAAAAAAAUCAGUCGUCGUCUUCCUUUUUCCUUCAUCUUACAAAGUACAUAUAAAUGACAAAUUUUGGACACAACAAAUCAGGCUUAAACCCACAAGAUCACACCCUACAGCAGCCGAUGCUGCAGCCGACAACCGCCACUGGCACAGCUACAAUGGAAGAACAAGGAUCCGACAUCGCCCAACAGGGAAAAAUCGCGCCGUCGUCUUUCUUGAGUAUCGGAGAGUAUGGAAAAUCACUGAUGCAGACCUACCGGAGAAUUCGUCGGAGAGCCGGAUCGGUGACGACGACGUAUGAGGAGAUGAGUCGAGUGAGAGCACGAUCGGGACCGGAUAUGGAGCGGUCUCUUCGUUGGUACGAUCUUGUGGGGUUAGGUGUUGGUGGAAUGGUUGGUGCCGGUGUUUUCAUCACGUCCGGUCGUGGUGCGGAAACGGCGGGUCCAGCUGUUGUUUUUUCGUUUGCGAUUGCCGGACUGUGUGCUUUGCUCUCUGCUUUUUGCUACACCGAGUUCGCAGUCGACAUGCCUGUCGCCGGUGGUGCUUUCAGUUACCUCCGAGUGACCUUUGGUGAAUUAGCGGCGGUAAUUACGGGAGCGAAUUUAUUGAUGGAAUAUGUGUUCUCGAAUGCGGCAGUUUCUCGGAGUUUCACGGCGUAUUUAGGUUCUGCUAUCGGAAUCAAUACAAUCGAAACAUGGAGGAUAACGGUGACAUGGUUACCGGAAGGGUUCAAUCAGAUAGACUUUCUUGCCGUCGGCGUAGUUCUUGUCAUUUCUCUUAUUAUUUGCCACAGGUAUCGAUGCUCUCUAAAAAUAAAAUAAAAUAAAAAACCUUUUUUUUUAAUGCUUCGUGUCGUUUUGUCCAUUAUCUCCGGCAGUGUUUUCACUGUCGGAAAUCAGACAGUUUGUAGUUUGUAUGUACAUUUACAGUAAAUUUAUAAAUUUUUAUAUAUGAUUAGACCAUUCAAUCUUGCACUGUUCAUAUACAGUACAAAGGAGAGCUCGAUUCUCAACAUGAUCCUCACCGGAAUCCACCUGGUUUUCAUCUUUUUCAUCAUCGCCGUCGGUUUCUGGAAAGGUGACUUGAAGAACUUCACACAUCCGGCAGAUCCUUCAAAACACGCCGGAGGUUUUUUCCCAUUCGGCGUAUCUGGUGUCUUCAAAGGAGCUUCCAGCGUCUACCUGAGUUACAUUGGAUAUGACGCCGUCUCUACCAUGGCUGAAGAGGUUAAAUCUCCGACGCACGACAUACCAAUCGGCGUCUCCGGUUCUGUCGCCCUCGUCACCGGUCUCUACUGCCUCAUGGCUGCUUCUAUGUGCAUGCUCGUUCCUUACGAUGCGAUCGACUAUAACAAUCCAUUCUCGAAGGCCUUUGAUGAUAAGGACGGAUGGGGAUGGGCGGAGAACGUCAUCGGUGCCGGAGCCAGCUUCGGAAUACUGACGUCGAUGAUGGUUGCAAUGUUAGGUCAGGCGAGAUACCUCUGUGUUCUCGGAAGGUCAAAUGUGGUCCCUACCUGGUUAGCUGAAGUCAACCCUAAAACAUCAACCCCAGUUAACGCUACGGUUUUUCUCGGCGGACUGACGGCCGCAAUUGCAAUUUUUACAGAUUUAGAAGUUCUCUUAGAUCUCGUUAACAUCGGAACACUCUUCGUCUUCUACAUGGUAGCCAACGCGGUGGUUUUCCGACGGUACGUCGCCAAAGAAGUAACCAACCCAACACCGACGAUCACAUUCCUGCUAUCGUUCUCACUCAUCUCCCUCGCAUUCACAGUCAUCUGGCAUCUCGCCGAGACUAGCAUUGCCAAGGUGGCUAUGCUAUGUCUCUGUGCCGUUCUAGGGAUCACCGCCGUUCAGUCGUUCAAGAUUUUCGUACCUCAGGCGAGGAAACCAGAGUUUUGGGGCGUGCCUUUCAUGCCGUGGGUACCGGCGUUCUCUAUCUUCUUGAAUCUGUUUCUGAUGGGAGAUCUGAAUAAGUCGGCGUAUAUCAGAUUCUUGGGCUUCACCGCCGUCAUCUUGGUGUUUUAUGCUCUGUACGGCGUCCACGCUAGCUUCGACGCCGAGAAAAAAAACAAUGGAAACGUCAACUCCGUCAGUUUAGUCAUUGACACCUUCCGGUGAUCCAUGACCAAAUGUUUCGUAAUUCACUAAUUCGUAAAGGGUUAAUUUAAAAAACAUCCCUAUAGUUCUAUGAAACUAUCUUUUUUAUUAUUUUAAGGACCCAAUUUAUGUAUUUUAAUUUGAGUAUUUUAAUGUCUUACUUAAAUAUUUUACCCUCGAUUGUCAAAAAUAAAAUAAAAAUUAAAUUAAUCAAUUACAACUUUUUUAUUUUUCUUCUUCCAGCAAUCACAUAUAUAAUCUUAUAAUUGCAUGAAAAUGACAUAAAUUAAAAAGAUCAGUACAAGAAGUCCAAUAUUAUUUCAUCAAUAAUUGCACUUUAUUAAUUAUUAUGGUGUGUGAAUGUGUGGUCGUAAUUACCUUUCUGUUACGUGCACGUUGAAAUGAGAUCAGAUAUUAUUUUUUUAAACAAUUAAAUUUCAUUAAAAAUAAAGACAAUAUCCAAAUUACAAAAUAAAAAAGAUCAAAGAUAUCUUCCUUUACUUAAAAUAUAAGUACUUAAAUUGACGAAAAGUGAGUCAUCAAUUAUUAAAAUUGACUUUUGACAUCAAUCAAUCCCUCUCUAGGAAAAAAAAAUUGAUUCCCCAAAAAGAUCAUAGGAAAAAGAUGGUUCAAACAAAUAAUUAAUAAUUCAAAUGUUAUAUCUCAUUUAUAAUUGUUUCAUCUGAAUCUUUAUUUCUACAAUCGGGCAACUCAGGGUCUAUUUUUAUAACAAAAUGUAUCUUUGUACAAGUAAAAAAAUCUACCUUACAGUGAUAUUUCAGAGUUAAAAUUACAUAUACAACCAGACUAAAACUCUAAUACAAAGUAUUAGAACAAGUUGGUGUCAAGUGAUUCAACUAGGUAUAAAUAUGUCACAUCUUAAUGUAUUGAAAAUCAAUUGGAAUUCACAUUUUAUAUAAAGAGAGAAUAAAAGUAGCUUCUAUUUAUCAUUUUCAUGUAUUGCUUUGAGUUGGAGAUCAUUUCAAUGUGAUCAAUGCAUAUAUAUAUAUAUAUAGAUGCUUGAUGGAGAUUGUCGAUCAUGACACAAGGUUUAUCUUUAAUUUUAAGUAUUGUAGAUUGUCGACCAUGACACAACUUGUAAUAGCUUGCGAAACACAGAAGUAGUUGAUGCCUUUUGCUCUACGUGAGAUUGAAGAACACUACAAGAAAAAGACAUUUUCACGUUCAAUCAAGUUAGUCUUAAAUUCAAGAUAAUUGGUCCCUAUUUCAAAAAGAUUUCAAACACAUCACCUUUAAAAACCUUAAUAAUUACUGUAACUAGUUGAUCCUAAUCUUUUUGUGUUGGUUGUGUAUAAUAAUAAUAUUUUAUAGAUGUAUAAAAUAAUGCAGACCCCAGAUUUCUGGUUUUGGGUACAUAUAUCGUUACAAAUUACAUAAGCAGUAUUUUAGGCAUACAAUGUUAGCAUAUGAGGCGUCAACUUUAUCCUAAAAAAAUGAGAGGAAAUAAAAUUGUCGUCUGAGUGAUCAUUUUUCGCGCUUGGGACAUCAACUUUUUUUAUUCUCGUGUAAACAAAUUGGGGUAAACAAAAUUAUCGUUCGAGGGAUGUUCUUCAAUUGCUGAUCCACAACAUGGUAAAAAAAGGAAGUUAAGAUUGAUUAACCGUCAGGCAAACUCGUCUCCUUAAAUAGAGAGUAAGUAUUAUUAUAUUUAAAUCAAUUGUUUUUCUAUGCUGAACUUCUAUAGACCUUAAUUUUUUAAUAUAUAAAACAACUUAUUCAAAAAAAAAAAUAUAUCGCUCGAGUCGUCAGUGGAUGGGGAUGAUCAGAGUAGAGAGACAGAGAGAUUUUACAACUAUUUUAAUUCAUAAACUUGAAUUAUAAAUGAUGACUGGGAAAUCACACCAGUACUCGGUGGUGCGAGUACACGAAACAUGCUAUGUGUUAAGUCUUCAGGCGAGAAUCGUCUAUUAGAACCCAGAGUCGACGAUGGCUCCGUAAGUAUAGCUCUCAAAUGGGUGAAAUUGAUGCUCUUGGGGUCCUCUUUUAUAGGGUCUCCAAGAGUGCGUUCUAAGGCGGGGAUCACGCUUUGGUCAUUAAUGUGGCCAAGCUGGCCUCAAGAAAUGCCCGAAGAUCAUCGCGUGAUUUACUAAGGGAAAUCGUCUAUUCUCUAGAAGGAAGUUUGGGAUGGCCAUUGUAGUAGAUUUCCCUAGACGAUAUUAAAGAGUUCUUUGCCCCUUUUAAAGACCUUUGGUUAUGUGUUUGUGGGAGCCAUCCAGAGGUUCGGUCUAAAGCGAACAUAACCCUAAUUCUUGUUGAUGGUGAUGACAAGUAUACGAUCUUAUAUCAUUAGUAGUUUUGGAUUUUAUAGUAACCUAAUCACAACAUGUGAAAUGAUCGAAUAACUACAAGCAAUUGAAAUUGUAUAAUAGUGUUAUGUGGUCUCUAACACUUAGCGAUUAAUUAUUAUUUUGACUUCGUGUCAAAAUUAGAUCAAAAAAUCUUAUUGGUAGCAGAGUAAGCUCUGAUGUACGUAGUCCGCCAUAGCUGGGAGAGGACGCUUCAGGCGUUUAGACGGAGUCGAUAUAAUCAUAUCAUCAUUCACUUCUUCAGGAACGAGAACAUUUUCGAACUCAAGAUCUUCUGGAAAAGAAACUUCUACUGGUUCGUCUCAUUGUUUAUAUAUAUGGUUUGAAAAGAGAUACAUGGAACACAUCAUAUAUUUUAGCAGUCUUUGGUAGAUCCACCUUGUAUGCAACUUUCCCAAUUUUUGCGGCAACUCAGAACGGUUCGAAGUACUUGUGCUCCAACUUGUUUGAAUUGCGUUGUUCCACCAAUGGUUGUCUAUAUUUUUCCAACACUUGAGCGAUCAUCUACCGAAUAGUAGAUGUCUAGCUAGUCGUUUCUUUUCGGCAUUUUAAUUUCUUGAUCGUUGUUGAUGUUUUGGAUCGUGAUUCGAGACUAUAAGAGCCGGGUGAAUAAUCUUUUUUCGCGUUUUAUAGGAUUUUAUUAAAUGGACCACAUAAGUAAAAUUACUUUUGUAACCUCAACGGCUGUCAUUAAUCUUCGACGCAUGCUUCCAAGGCGACGGUUCAGUUCCCGACCGUUUGGCUACUCUAUAUAAACAUAAGGAUACAGCUUUGAAAGGUUAACGUUCGAUUUAUACAUUUUGGAAUUCAAAAGAUCUGAUCUAUAUUGUGAAUAGCUUCCGGUCUUUCUUGCGAUCCUCGUCGGUGCAUAUUCAUCUUUCGAUAUCUGUCUUCAUUCCUCGGAUCUUCACACUCCCGUGGAACUCGAUCAUCUUACAAUAACCAUUUAUUACAUAUUCUUAUCAAUCAUAUCUCCUGCACUAUCAUAUCGAGUAUAUCUGCUGCAUCAUCAUACAAUGAAUCAGUUCUUGCUAUUACGAUAAUAUAGUCAUUCUCUCAGUCGAUCCGACUUUAGCAUUGCUCAAUAAUCAUCACACGUGAUUCUGGAUUGCAUUGUCAUCAUAUCGUGUUUUCUUAGAAUAUUUAAACAACAGUUCUUAUAUAAGUUUCAUCAUAUCAGUUUAUAGACAUUUAUGUAUUCUAUCAUUUCUUGUUAAGAACUACUUCAUUCCAUAUAUAUAUAUAUUUGAUUAGUUAAAGUAGCAUAUUCCAUUCAAAUCUGUAUUAGAUUUUACAUGGUAUCAGAGCGGUAAGAUCCAAACCGUUUCUAGAAACAAGUUAAAUUUUUUUCUUCCUCUUUAAGAAGAAAAAUCACAAAAUCUAUAGUUUUUUUUUCAAAAAAAAAGGGGGGACUUUCUUUCAUUUGGAUCCCGAAGAUUCCCUCUUCUUCUGCAACUUCAGCUCCUUCUUGAGCCAUCUAGCAUAGUCAGAGUCAGCUUCUGCCUUCUCCUUUCCUUUUUGCAGCAACUGAAGGAAUUAAGCAUAAUCAGGGUCUACAUUUUCAUCGUCAUUCAACUCCGCUUUCUCUUUUCACUUAUCAUUUUUAAUCUCAUUUUCAUUCGAGUCAUCCUUUAUUUUCUGAACAUUAACUCCCAGCAUAAACAUAUUAAAGUACUCAUUAGCCUCAGAAUUAGAGCUAAAUCCAUAGAUCCCACCAUUCUUCAUAGCAUCAGUAUCAUAAUUCUCAUCAAAUCUGCUAUCCCAGUCUGAAAGAUAAUUCUCUGGAGAAUGAUACUCCCACUUCCAGUUGUGAGGCCUAGGAGCAUUCUCCAAUUUUGAAUGAAUCCCAUUUCUCCAGUUGUAAUCCAUCCACUCCAUGAAUGGAUCAUGAAAUACUUCUCCUUCUCCUUUCUUCCUCUUUCUAGUUGCCCUUCUUAUCAUUGUAGCUUCAUCAACAGUGGGCUCUGGUUGUUGAAUAUCAGACUCAACCACCAUUAAGUGAUCCACACACUCGACAGUUUUUUUCUCAGCAUCAUCUAUCUCUACCAUUUGUUUCUUAGAAUUCUCUUUGUUCAAAGAUUCAACAUAAUCAGAAAGAAUAUCUGCAGAUAAAAUGGAAGAAGUCAACAAUCAAAUAAUGCAAAAUGUUCUCACAAGGGAAGAAAAUAUUUAUGGCUCAGAUGCAACUUCACACUUCACAGUACCUAUCAAACUAGAUGGAAAUAAUUAUCCCAUCUGGAAAAAGCAUUUCGAAAUGGUUGUGAGUGGAAGGUCAAAAUUGCCCUUCUUACUUGGGGAAGCACCUAAACCAGAUGUCAUCACAAACCCCAAAGAGUACAGGAAAUGGAAAGCUUACACUGACAUGGUACAUUCAUGGCUGUUGAGUUCAAUCACAACAGAUUUACAACCAUCUUUUCUCACAGCAAAUGAUCCAUGGACCCUCUGGGCAGAGUUAAACACAAAAUAUAACCAAGAAAAUGUUGCUAUGUUAUAUGAUGUUCUAGUACAAACCUAUAUACUAUAUCAAGGUCAGGACUCUGUUUGUACCUAUUACACAAAACUCACCAAGCUAUGGAACACUUAUGAUACAAACAAAGAAAACAACAAUCCUCCAGAUGAAUUUGAAAGAUCUGUAAAAUUCUUCAUGGGCUUAAAUGAGACAUUCAAGAGUUCUAAUGGCACAAAAGCCCACACCUACUCAUGGGGAACUGUAUCCAAUUAUAAAACAAGAGGAGCCACACAGCUCCUACUGAAGUGAGUACAACCCUACUUGCAAACAACUCAGGAGUGUACAUACCUUCUAGACCAGAAACUAGGGAAAGGCCUUUCUGCACUCACUGCAAGAGACCAAGGCAUACUGCAGAGAACUGUUACCAAGUACAUGGAUAUCCAGAUAAGCAAAAUGGAAACACUUCUCAGAACUUCAGGAGAUAUAGGCCAUACAAUCAAACAAGAAGUCAUCUAAGGAGAGACAACGGGAAUUUCAACAGAAACUACAAUGGAAACAGACAAAUCUCAAAAUCAAACAACACAAAUAAUGUUGAAAAUCAAAAAGAAUCUCUGGAACAUCAAUGGACUGAAAAUGAGAAUUUUGAAGAUCAUAACAUAUAUAGAUGACCAAUAUGAGAAUGAACAUCAGAAUGAGAGAUGAGUCAACAAUACAAGAAGCAAACCAAACAUCACAAUUACAAAUGAACAAUUAAUGAUGCUUCUGGAUAAACAGGAUGGUCCCGGACCCAAACACUCAGCUAAUGUGGGGAGAGCCAUAAGAGAAUCAUCAUCAACCCCAACACAUGGAACCCACAGGUAAACAUUCAUACUGUUUUAUUUCAACAGUAAAUGAAGGUAAAGAUUGGGCGAUUGACAGUGGAGCCACAGAACACAUGUGUGGUCCCCAGAUCCAACUGUCAAACAUAAGGACUCUAACAAAAACCAAUCAGAUUUCACAUGCCUAACUCACACACAUCAAUAGUAUGUGAAGUAGACACCUAUCUCCUAAAUGAAUUUUUAACACUGGAUAAUGUGCUAAAAAUUCCCAACUUCAAUGUCAAUUUGAUAUCAGUUAUCAAAUUGACAAAAUCAAUCAACUGCGCUUUCUUAUUCUACUAUGAUUAUUGUCUUAUACAGGAUUCGAAGAUGAAUUCGAUUUUUAUGGGUAAGAGAAAGGAAGGACUCUAUAUCUUAUCCACAGAAGAGAUGAAAAAAGAAAAUCGGAAGACCAAAGCAUACACAACAAAAUCAGCAUCUUCAGAACUAUGGCAUAAAAGAUUAGGACAUCCUUCUGUUCUAAGAUAUAAUCUAAUUAGGAAAAACUCUUUAUCUAUUCCUGUUUUUAAAGAACAUGUAUGCAAAAUUCACAAGGUUACCUUUCCCUAAAAGUAGCUCUAAGACUACUAAAUUUUUUGAAUUAUUGCAUGUUGAUGUAUGGGGAAAAUACAAAACACCAACACAUAAUAACCACCAUUAUUUUUUAACUACAGUAGAUGACUAUAGUAGAGCCACGUGGACAAUACUAAUGCAUAAUAAAGGGGAAACAUCACAAAAACUCAAAAAGUUUAUAAAGGAAGCCAUCAAUCAAUUUAAUGUUUCCUUAAAAACUAUAAGGUCAGAUAAUGGGACUGAGUUCCUAAACACAGAACUUAAAAUCUUCCUAAAAGAUCUUGGCAUAAAACACCAAUUAUCGUGUCCUUACACCCCACAACAAAACUCAGUGGUAGAAAGAAAACAUAGACAUAUCAUAGACAUAGCUAGAUGUUUAAUGUUUUAAUCAAAAAUAUCUGAAACAUACUGGGGAGAAUGUGUCCAGACUGCAUGUUACCUCAUUAAUAGGAUACCAUCUCCUAUAAUCAACAAUGAAACACCAUACUACAGAUUAUUUCAAAAAGAAUCUUCUUAUGAGAAUCUAAGAGUUUUUGGCUGUUUAUUUUUCUUCAAAAUUAAUAAACCUACACAAAAAUUUGAUCCCAGAGCUACAAAAGGAGUACUCCUAGGGUAUUCUACACAAAGCAAUGGAUAUAAGGUACUAGACUUAGAAAGUAAUGAGAUACACACCAGUAGAGACGUAGUCUUCUAUGAAACAGUCUUUCCAUUCAAAGGCAAAAUCACAGAAACGUCUGAAAGUGACACUAUUCUUAUAGAUACCGAAGACACAAUGGAAGAAGACACAGAAAACUCAGAAAAAUGCAAACAUAAGAGAGGAACCAAAUACAUAAAACAUAACACAAAAUCUAGAGGAACCGGUAGUCAAUCAGAAUGAAGAAAGGAUCCUAAGAUCCACAAGAGAAAAGAGGAAACCAACAAAAUUAAAAGACUGCAUAUACUACAACUUAACAAAAUAUCCAAUAAAUAACCAUCUAGGAUAUAAUAAAUUCUCUGAAAAACAAAAAGCAUUCCUCACAAAAAUAUCAGAACACAAAGAACCAAAAGGUUACACACAAGCUAGCAAACAAGAACAUUGGCAAAAGGCCAUAAAACUAGAAAUUAAUGUAUUAAAACAAAAUGACACAUGAAAAAUAGUAGAGGUACCCAAGGAAACAAAAACUAUGGGAUGCAAAUGGGUGUACAAAAAAAAAUUACAAGCCGAUGGUUCCUUAGACAAAUACAAAGCCAAACUUGUCGCUAAGGGUUACAAUCAGAUAGAAGGAAUUGACUACACUGAAACAUUUGCAUCAGUCUCAAGGAUGACAACUCUAAGGACUUUGAUAUCCAUAGCAUCCACCGAGGGUUGGCACUUGCACCAAAUGGAUGUACAAAAUGCCUUCCUUCAUGGAAACUUAAACGAAGAAGUCUACAUGAACAUCCCUCAAGGACUGAGAAUCAAACAAGAACCAAAGAGAAACAACAAACCAGCAUACAAAUUAAAUAAAUCUCUAUAUGGCUUAAAACAAGCCUCCAGGAUGUGGUUCACCAAAUUAAAACAAGUACUAGAAAAACUAGGAUUCCAACAAACAAAAUCAGACUAUGCACUAUUUAAGAAGAUCAAUAGGAAAGAUAAAACAUUCAUCUUGGCAUAUGUUGACGAUCUGUUAAUCACUGGAAACAAUAUCAACAUAAUCCUAGAACUAAAGAAGAAAUUAACAAACUUUUUCAACAUCAAAGAUUUAGGAAAACUGAAAUUUUUUCUUGGAUUAGAGUUUACUAAAACAAAAGAUGGGAUUUUCAUUAGUCAAAGACAAUAUGCACUAGAAAUAUUGGAACAAUAUAAUUACAUACACGCAAAACCCAGGGAAAAUCCAAUAUCAACACCAUCUGAAGCAAAAAUUAAAACAGAAGAAAUUCUGAAGGAUCCCACAGAAUAUAGACAAAUGGUUGGCAAACUAGUAUACUUAACAGUAACUAGACCUGACAUUACACACGAUGUAAAUGUUUUAAGUCAGAAAAUGGCCAACCCAACAGAAGGGGACUCAAAAAAGGUAAACAAAAUUUUAAGAUUGAUGAGGGUGAAACCCGAUCAGUACUCCAAGACGUUCCAACAAGCGCCAAGCGGGGAACUCCGCGGGAAAUCGGACCGGAACUCAAGUGCGCAGAGCUCUGCUUCGCUAGGAACUCUCUACUCCAAAUGACUUGCCUCAAAUGAGUGGGGGUGCCUCCUAUCUAUAGGGAUUCUUAUGGGGGGUAAUCUGGUCAUUUGGGCAGUAAACGCCUAACUGAUUAGAUAGGGUCCCAAGGUCGACUUUCCAGAGAUCGACUUUCUCGGGAUCCGACUUUCUCGGGAUCCGACUUUCCUGGGGUUCGACUUUUCUCAGAAGUUGAUCCCAGGGAAGUCGAUCCUCCUAGGAUUCGACUUGGGACCUCCCCAAUCCUAGAAUAGGUACCUCAACUCAUCUUAAGCUAUCCGGACUUCUAGUUGCUGGAAAGUUGUGAUCGGGUUCGGGAUACUGUAUCACCAGUACUCCCCCCUCCUCUGCAUAUUAGAUAUCUUGAGAUACAUUUUUUAGUACUAUGGUCUGUGUGUUGAAUCCUGUACUAUCAGUAUUCCCCCUCUUUGCGUGUUGGGGUGUGGGCUAUCGGUGAUGUCCUAGGAUGCGAGAUCCUCUCUCACCAGUUCUCCCCCCCUUCUACGACCGCGAGGUUAUACCUAUGCUUCCACGGAGGUUGUCACAUGCUUUCGCUAACUAUUGUUCGGUUUGUCCUAGCCGAAACAUACUCCUUGCGCAGCUUGCCUAGCCCGAUUUUCGAGCGGAACCCUGCUUGCCCACCUUGACGCCUUGCUGAGCUGUCUCCGAGCAAUGUUCGAGUACCUCUUCCCUCUUCUGUGGUUGGAGUUGAGUAUUGUCCCUUCUACCUAUUUUGUUUUAUAGGUGAAGUUCUCUUUUGAACUCUUGCCCCCUUCUUCUGCUCGCUGCUUCCGCGGCUGAGGUUGAGUGUGGCCCCUCGUCUACCUAUGUUCUUCCAUAGAUGAGGUCCAUUUUUUGAACUCUUGCCCCCUCCUUCUGCUCGUUGCUUCCGCAGCUGAGGUUGAGUGUGACCUCUCAUCUACCUAUGUCCUUCCAUAGGUGAUGUCUAUUUUUUGAACUCUUGCCCCCUCCUUCUGCUCGCUGCUUCCGUGGCUGAGGUUGAGUGUGGCCCCUCGUCUACCUAUGUUCUUCCAUAGGUGAGGUCCAUUUUUUGAACACUUGUCCCUUCAUAGAUGGGAUGUGUGUUCUUUUGCUGUGUCCCUCAUCUAACUAUGUUCUUUCAUAAGUGAGGUUUAUUUGAAUAUUUGCCCCUCUAUUCAUGUUCUUCCGUAGAUUAGGUUAAGUUCUUUUGGCCGGUGUGUUCCUCGACUACUUACGUUCUUCCGUAAGUGAGGCUCACUUUUGCGUAUAUCUCCCCCUGUCUACGUUCUUUGUAGAAGAGGAGAAUGCUUUGCCGGUGUGUCCCUCGUCUGCCUACGUUCUUCCGUAGGUGAGGUUCACUUUUGAGCACAUCCUCCGUCUACCUACGUUCUUCCGUAGGUGAGGUUCACUUUUGAGCACAUCCUCCGUCUACCUACGUUCUUCCGUAGGUGAGGUCUACUCUUGGACACUUCCCUUUAAGCCUACGUUCUUUGUAGGUUGGCAUGUGCCGUGUUCCCCGUCUACCUACGUUCUUCCAUAGGUGGGGUUUGUUUUUACUCACCCUUUUGUCUACGUUUUUUUUUGUAGAUGUGGUGAGUGUUUUCGGAUGGGGUACGCGUCCUGACCCUGUUACUACUAAGACUUUCUCCACCUACGUUCUUCCGUAGGUAGGGUUAAUUUGGUGUCCUACUUUGUUACUGCGUCCAGUAAUUGUAGGAGUUCAAAUAUCUUAGAGUGGCCCAGUUCAUUCUGCUGUCGUGCCGUCAUCGGUGCUAUUCUUCCUUGGUGGACUUCCAUAAUAUUUUAGGAGUAUUUUGCCUACACCCCCUGCCUUGGUGACUUUCAAGGUCUCAUGAGUGUUUUUCCUACACCCCCUGCCUUGGCGAACUUCCGCAAUAUUCCAAUACAUCAGGGUUCUUUUUUCGACUUUGUUUUGCACAAAAGUCGAAGGGCAACAUUCGUAUCGACUUUUAUAGAAAAGUCGAUCCCUCGGGUCCUUGUAUUGACUUUUUUGCUAAAAGUCGAUUCCUGGUGUUUUGGCCAAAAAGUCGAGUCCUCGUGCUGAUCUUGGAAGGAUUGUCCUUCUGAUCAGUUUUACUCUGUUUUUUUCCUUUUGUGCAGACCUGGGGUCUAUAAAUAGAGCCUUUAGGUCCUUCCUUUCCUUCAUCCAUGGCUCUUCUUGUGAGUAUCUUCGCUGAUUUUAUUCAGGGAGAGAUUGAGGAGCUGAAUCGAAUUCUGAAUAUUUUGGAUCCUCGGUCUUCGGCCUUGGAUCUUCCUGCUCUGCGCCAAAUAAUUGUCGAGCGGCAGAGUGUUGAUGUUACAGUCAGGGAAUCAAUAUUUGAAGAAUGGUCCGUUGGUGAUCUUCCGACUGUUGUUUCUCCUUCUGCCCCUCUACGUGGUCGACGCCGGAGGCGUCCCCGACGCGAUGUUUCUCCGCCGGGUCAGGUUCCUCGUCGCUUGCGUCGCCGUAUUAACUUUAACUAGGGACUUGUAAUAUUUUCAUUCUUUUUACUUGUAAUUCUGAAUAAAGAUAUUUUUCCCUUUUUUCCCACUUGUUUUACACAUUUACUCUGAAGUACGUCGGUGUAGUUUGCGGGUAUACUUCUUCCUUUUUCCUAAGGAUUUCCUUUGUGGCGAUCGACUUUUUUAGAAUGUCGAUUCCCUAAAGUCGAUGCUUUCUGUUGGUCGAUCCCAUCCUUUUCUGAAGAUGUCGAAGUUUAUACAGAAAGUCGAUCCCAUCUCUCCUUGGAGAUGUCGACGUCGUAUAAAAGUCGAUCUCGUCUUUUCCUGAGGAUGUCGAUGUCGUGUGAUGGUUGACUCUUUCCUUUUCUGAGGAUGUUGACGAUCAUACCGAAAGUCAAUCUCAUCUCUCCCUGAAGAUGUCGACGUCGUAUGAAGGUCGAUCUUAUCCUUUUCUAAGGAUGUCGAUGUCAACUGUGAAUGAUAUUUUAAUGUCGACGUCUAUCCCCCUCUGAGGAUGUCGAUCUGAGUAUUUGUGGAAUGUCGAUUCUGUCCUUCUCUUGCGAAGGGUGUUGAUUCCAAGGUAAAUGUCGACGUCUAUUCCCCUCUGAGGAUGUCGAUCUGAAUCUUGAUGGGAUGUCGAUCCUACCCUUCUUUUGGGAGAUGUCGAUACCCAAUCAUUAAAUGUCGAUGCUCUUGUUCUGAAAUGUCGAUGCCAUUUGGUCGGAUUUUCGCGGACUCGGGCGUCUUGGGCCUGCCGGGCCCAUGGGCUUUUCGGCCCAUAGGGUGAACAGUGCCCGCGACGGUUUGUCUUCGACUUUCCCCUAUAAAUAGUGGAGGGGGGGUCAUUCGCUUCUCACCUACUUCCUUCGCUCUGAGGCAUCGACUUUCCAGCUUCUUCGCUUCGACUUCCAGCGCGCGUAAGGCUUCGACUUAAGCCUUGGAGGUGCAACUUUCUGGGGUCCGACUUCUGUGGUCGGGUUCUGUUGAAGUUGCACUGGGUCCGACUUUUCUCAGAGUCGGUCCUCCUUGAAGUUGUUUCCCUUUUGGACUGUGGUCCGACUUUGUGAAGUCUGACUUUUUGUCAUCGACUUUUCAGAGUUGGGCCCAAUAUUACUGGGAUUGACUUCCUGGACUUAACUUUUGAAGUUGCUUUCCCAAAGUGACCUCCCUUAGUCCGACUUCCUGAAGUCCGACUUUUGUCAUCGACUUCCCUGGAUCGGAUCUGUUGGGAUCGACUUCCUGAGACUCUAACGUAAGUUGUGUCUCCUGAAGUUGUCUUCCCUGUGAUUCGACUUUCUGAAGUCCGACUUUUUCUGGUCGACUUCUAAAGUUGUAUCAUUGCGGGGAUCGACUUCCUGGUAUUCUAACUUUUUUGAAGGUAGUUUUCUGAAGUUGUCUCUCCUUGAAUUAUAGUGCGAUUUCCUGAAGUCUGUAUACUGAUGAAAAGUGGAUUCUAGUGCCCAUGUUCUUGCACAAUCUCGUAAACUCCCCACCGGUAAACUGUGUCCCGUUAUCUGUCACUAUGUGCAUUGGAAUGCUGAAUCUGCACAUUAUGCACUUAAAGACAAAUUUCGUUGCCGCUCCUUGUGUUAUCUUGGGUACUGCCAAAGUCUCGACCCAUUUUGUGAAGUAAUCGACAGCCACGAAUAUGAAUUUAGCCUGGCCUGUAGAUACCGGAAAUGGUCCCACAAUGUCUAGUCCCCACAUUGCGAAUGGGAUGGGGCUUUCUACCCCUGUUAGUUGAGUUGCGGGAUUUCUUUGUAUGUUUUUAUGUAUCUGGCAAGCCUUGCACUUUCUUGCAAAUAGGACUGCAUCUUUCUUUAGUGUGGGCCAGAAGUAUCCCUGCCUUAUUAUUCUUUGGGCUAGAGAUCUUCCCCCUUAAUGUAUCCCGCACACCCCCUGAUGAAUUUCCUCUAAAAUGAAUUGCCCUUCAUCUGUUGAGAUACAUUUCAUUAGAGGCCCAUCGUAGGAUUUCUUGUACAGGAUGUCACUGAUUAGGCAGAAUCUUGGAAUGCGCGUUUGUAAUUUACGCCUUUCAUUUUUGUUUUCUGGGAGUUUUUGCCCUUCAAAGUACUCUAUCAAAGGUUUUCUCCAGUCUUCUGCCUGUAUUGUGACCAGAUUGCAUGAAGGUGUAAAUGCUGAGUCAACCAGUAUCUCUCUCUGUCCCCCUUCGAAAGCGGAUGUUAGCUUUGCCAGGGCAUCAGCUGAGUUGUUUUGACUCCUUGAAAUCUGUUCUACCUCCACCUUAGUAAACUGCAGUUUUAUUUUUUCUAGUGUAACUGCGUACUGCAUGAUCAGAGGAUCUUUAACUGUGAAUUCCCCUGUAAAUUGCUGAGCUACUAAUUGAGAGUCUGUUCUAAUAAUUACUGAGCAAGCCCUCAAUCUUUUGCGUAUUUUCAUGCCUUGGAUUACAGCCUCAUAUUCUGCUAUAUUGUUUGUAGCUGAUAAUUGUAAUCUGACAGAGUGUUCAGCUAUCCUUUGGUCUGGAGUGAUUACUUUUAUUCCCACUCCUGCACCUGUACUGCAGCUUUAGCCGUCAACCUCUACUAUCGAGGCGGUGUUGUUUCUAAUAUCGCUGUUAUAUUAUCUGGGUUUGGUUUUAUUCCCUUCUCCCUACAUAGAAUCCAAGAAACUUUCCUUCUUGUACUCCAAAGCUGCAUUUGGCGGAGUUUAACCGCAUCCCAUAACUCUGUAGAGUUUCCAGAGUUUCCUUCAGAUCAUUUGGGUGUUCAUCUGCUUUCUUGGAUUUCACCAGAAUGUCAUCUACGUACGCCACGACAUUUCUUCCUUCUUGUUUUUUGAAAACCUUGUCCAUUAGCCUUUGGAAGGUUGCUCCUGCGUUUCGUAGUAUGAAGGGCAUGACUUUGUAGCAGUAUGUUCCCCAAUCUGUGAUAAAUGAUGUGGCUUCUUCAUCCUCUUCUUUCAUCAGAAUUUGAUUGUACCCUGAAUGCGCAUCCAUCAUAGAUAACAAUUCAUUUCCUCAAGCCGCAUCUGCUAAUCUGUCGAUGGACGGGAGUGGAUAGUUGUCAUUUGGACAUGCUUUGUUGAGGUUUGUGAAAUCUACACACAUCUUCCACUUCCCGUUGGAUUUCUUAACCAUGACUGGGUUAGCUAGCCAUUUUGGGUACUUAACUUCCCGAAUGUGCCCAACCUUGAUUAACUUCUCGAUUUCAGCCUGUGCUGCUUCAUUUCUUUCGGCUGCGAGUAUCCUUUGCUUUUGCCGUAUAGGAGUAAAGCUAUUGUCUAUGUUGAGCUCAUGGCAUGUUAUGGUGCGCUGUACCUGUGAGGGUGUUUCCCCCUCCCAUACGAACGUAUGCACAUGAGUCUCUAAUAAACAAAGUAAUGAAUUUUUUAACUCGGAGGAUAUAGAUGUACCUAUCAAGAUUCCUCCUUUUGAGAGUUUGACCUCCUCAACUUGAUUAGUUGAGGUUGUGUCUUCUUCUUCCUCUCUUUCCUGGAUGUACAGGGUUAUUGGUUUGGCCAUUUUAUUUGUCUUCCUGUACGAGUUUCUUGAGUCUUUCUGUGCUCCACAAACUGUUGCCAUUUUACAAUCCUUUCCUGGAUACCUGAAGCAUUGGUGGUAAGAUGACGGUAUUGCCUUGAAACCGUGAAUGCUAGGUCUGCCCAGGAUCCCAUUGAAUGGAGAAUCUAUGUUGACCACAAUGAAAUGUGCCGUGCGUGAGACUCUCCCAUUUCUUUUCCCUAGGGAUAUCUGUAAGUCGAUGGCUCCUACUACUGGGGUCUUUGUGUUUGUGAACCCGUAUAUGGCUUCCUUGGCCGGGGUUAAUUGUUUCACUUUGUAGCCCAUUUUUUCAAAUGCAGCUAGGUACAGUAUGUCCACUGAGCUGCCAUUGUCCACCAUUACUUUACUCAGACUUAAAUCAUCCCCAAUGUCCACCUGUAUUACCAGUGGAUCUUCAUGCGGGCUGACCACAUUAUCCAGAUCUUCCUCAGAGAAGCUUAUUCCCUCGCUUGGGUAUGACCUUUUCUUAGAUUUUGGUACUGCAGUAGUCUGCAUUACCUUCCGCGAGUAACUUCUGCUUUCUCCUACUGAUCCUCCGCCGAAGAUUAAAUUUAUUACCCUUCUCUUGUGGUCAGUGUCUGAGUCAGGACUCCUUGAGCGUUGUCGCUUACCCUUGUUAUUUGGGUUCUUGCAACCUUGUCGCCCCCUUUCUACUUUGUUUAUAUAUUGUUUUAGCUUUCCUUCCUUUACCUGAGUAUCUAGGAAAGCACUCAGUUCCCUGCAGUUUUCUGUGUUGUGCCCGUAGUCCUUGUGGAACUUGCAGUAUCUGUUCCUCCUUGUCCGGGUCUCUUUUGUUGCAGGGUUUAAUUUUGCUGGUUGAGGAAACCUUAUUCUUCCCUUUUCCUUGUUGUAGAUUUCCUCUUUUGGAGUGCUGAAAACUGUGAAUCCUGGUGAGACAUGCCUGAUUACGUCAGUCACUCCCAGCAACGCCCUUCAAACAAGGAAUAGGGUUCCGUCGCUAUAUGCCGGACCCCCGGAAAGGCUUCCACGGUGCGGAGCACGUGUCUACGUCAAGAGCUCAAGUUAACACUCGGGAGUCGCCGACUCCAGGGGGAAUCGCCAACUCUACGCCUCGUGGACAGCUCUGGUAGGCUGCCACUAGGCUCAUGGGGAGUCGGCGAUUGAACCUCUGGAUCGGCGAUUCCCAUACCUGAAUCGCCGACUCCCAGCCGUUACUUGAGCGGACCUUCGCCAUUAAGGCAUUCCUUAUUUGGGGUACCUUAAUGGCGUGGGCCCCACUCGAUUGAAUGGGGAAACGCCCCCCAAGACCCUAUAAAAGGGGUCCUUGGGGGACCUCUAUCCUCAACUUAUCCUCUCUUGACUCACACUCCCACUAGAGCAAACCAAGGAGCCCGAAUCGCCUACUCCCACGUGAGUCGCCGAUUCCCCUCCUCUUCUGCAGGUGUUUGACGUAGAGCGCGCGUCGUGGACUCCAAAGCCUCCGGCCCUCCUCGCAACCCCGCGAGCCCACUGGUAGCAGAUUCCGUGCUUCAUCAAAUCCCAAGUCUUUGAACCUUGGGUACUUUGAUUUUUCGAACUCCUCAGAUGUCUGGUAGACCUUUCCAUCGUGUUUUGGUCUCCAGGGUGAUUCUCCUUUUUCGAAUUUUUAAUUUUUUUCUUUUGUGCUUCAUAUGCCUUUUUGUUGCUUAUGGCACCUCUUUCCUUUUUCAUACUCCUCAGAAUUUAUAUACUUCUGGGCCUUUGUUAACAGGUCUUCCAUGCAUUUCACAUUACUCACAUUUAGCUUUAUUGCUAAUAGUGUGUUCAUGUCCAACCCCUUUGAGUAUGCGCAAAUUGCAAUUGUUGUGUUCAGGUCGGAGAUUUUUUGCAUAGCUUCUGUGAAUUUAGUUGUGUAAUUCCGAAAUGUGUCUUCAUUCUGCUUGAUUGUAAAUAAUGAUUCAGUGCCCUUCCUGACUCUUGUGUUCCCACAAUGUUGGGAAAUGAACUUUUUCUUCAGGUCUGCAAAACUUGUUAUGCUCCUUGGUUGUAGUUCGACGAACCAUCUGUAUGUAGGCCCUUUCAGUGUUCCUGGGAAUGCUCUGCACAGGAUGUCAUCUCUCGCUGUGACCCAUUGCAUCGCUUCUCUGAACAUAUUUAUGUGGUCUACUGGGUCCAUCUUCCCAUCAUAGAUUUGUAACCUAGGCAGCCUAAAUUUUAGAGGUGCUAGUUUCACCAUUAAUAAUUUAUGCAGGGCCUCCAUACCUUCUAACCAGUUUGGGAAUUCGCAUCCUUCCCCCUCUGUAUCUCCCGUACCUUCCUCGUACGCGGAUUUUUUAGGUAGGACUUUAGAUUUUUGCUCUUCUGGUUUAUGAGGUGGCAACGUGCUAGAGUGUGCCGCUUUAUGGCUCGACACCUCAUGUUGUGCCUUGGCCUGCUUUGAUGUUUGAGCCUUUGAAUGAAAUAUUGAUGCUUUGAACUUUUCAAUUGUUUUCAAUCUUUCGCCCAUUUUUGCUAUGGUUUCUUUCAUUUUUUCCAGCUCCUCUAUGGGCAUUUUUACAAACCCGCGAGGGGUUUCUGAUGCUGAAGCCCUUGCUUCCUGGUUACUUGCAGGUUUUUCCUGAGGUUGCUCUUUCUGAGGUUGCUCCCUUUCAGUAAGGAGUCGUAUGGCCUCAGCUAUCGCCUGUAGUGUGAUGUUCAGGUUCUCCCCCCCAGCUGAUGCUUGGGGGGUUUGCUCAAGUUCAGUGGGGGUGCUUUUGUUUUUAUUAGCCUUAGGUGGCCGACCCACUGGUCUUUUAGUUUUCGAGUUGCCAGACUGCUGUUCUGGUAUCUCCUGAGAGUUGGCCCCUCCCAGAGAAGUACUUCGUGUCAUUACCAUCCUGGAGAGUUCGACUUUUUUUUUUUCAAAAAAAAAAGUCGAUUCUUGUGCACUUGGAGACUUCCUCGAAAGUCGCAGCUUGAAAGCGUAGCUCCUUGAGGAAUCGACUUUUCUUCUGGGAAGAAAAAAGUCGAUCUUCUGAAAAGUCAAUCCUUUGCCGAGCUGAUUUCCUCGCAAGACUCCCUGGCUGGCGUCUUGGAAAAAAGUCGAACCCUUUUUUCGAAAAAGUCGAGGAGCUUUUGUCGUGAGUAUCUUUGAAUCAUAGACGGCACCAACUGAUGAAGGUAAAACCCGAUCAGUACUCCAAGACGCUCCAGCAAGCGCCAAACGGGGAACUCCGCGGGAAAUCAGACCGGAACUCAAGUGCGCAGAGCUCUGCUUCGCUAGGAACUCUCUACUCCAAAUGACUUGCCUCAAAUGAGUAGGGGGUGCCUCCUAUUUAUAGGGAUUCUUAUGGGGGGUAAUCUGAUCAUUUGGGCAGUAACCGCAUAACCGCCUAACUGCCUAACUGAUCAGAUCGGGUCCCAAGGUUGACUUUUCAGAGAUCUACUUUCUCGGGAUCCGACUUUCCUGGGAUUCGACUUUUCUCAGAAGUCGAUCCCAGGGAAGUCGAUCCUUGGGAAAGUCGAUCUUCCUAGGAUUCGACUUGGGACCUCCCCAAUCCUAGAAUAGGUACCUCAACUCAUCUUAGGCUAUCCGGACUUCUAGUUGCUGGUAAGUUGUGACCGAGUUCGGGAUACUGUAUCACCAAAGAUACAUCAAAAAUUCACCUGGUCGAGGACUUUUCUUUUCAGGCUCUAAAACCUCAGGCAUUAUGGCAUUCUCCGACUGGGCAUCUUGUCCAACAACAAGGCAAUCAACAUCUGGAUUUGCCAUUUAUCUUGAUAACAAUCUUAUUUCCUGGCAAACAAAGAAACAACACACGGUAGCAAGAUCGUCAGCCGAGUAUAGAGUCAUAGCACACACUACGUGUGAAGUAACUUGGCUAAAACAGUUUUUAAAAGAGAUACACAUGCACGUACCAAUUCCCACAAUCUUCACAGAUAGUUCCUCAGCAAUGGCAAUCGCAACAAACCCUGUUCUUCACCAAAGGACAAAACACAUAGAAAUUGACAUACAUACAGUGAGAGAUCAGGUUUUACAAAAAGAGGUAAUACUACGGAAGGUACAAACAAAAGAAAAUGUAGCUGACAUUUUAACCAAAGAUGUCACCGGAGCACUAUUCAAACACCUAUGUGACAAACUAUAGAUGAGAGACUUACAUGCAGGAACAAAAACUUAGGGAAAAGCAAGACGAUCGACGAGAAGACGCACCCGCGGUUUUUCCUUUUCUUCGCUCCACUUCAGACGCGAUUUCCUGCUAUUAAGGAAGGAAAACCCUAAGGACAGUAUUUAUUCCCGACAAUUUUUUCAUAUAUACAUCAGUAGGCCAAUGACAGACAAUCCAAAAAGAACAAUUCUUGGUAAAGCCCAAGAAUUCCCUUUUUGAGGGGGCAUAUUAAAUGAACCACAUAAGUAAAAUUACUUUUGUAACGUCAACGGCUGUCAUUAAUCUUCGACGCAUGCUUCCAAGGCGACGGUUCAGUUCCCGACCGUUUGGCUACUCUAUAUAAACAUAAGAAUACAGCUUUGAAAGAUUAACGUUCGAUUUAUACAUUUUGGAAUUCAAAAGGUCUGAUCUAUAUUGUGGAGCUUCCGGUCUUUCUUGCCAUCCUAGUCGCUGCACAUUCAUCUUUUGAUAUCUGUCUUCACUCCUCGGAUCUUCACACUCCCGUGGAACUCGAUUAUCUUACAGUAACCAUUUAUUACAUAUUCUUAUCAAUCAUAUCUCCUGCAAUAUCAUAUCGAGAAUAUCUGCUGCAUCAUCAUACAGUGAAUUAGUUCUUGCUAUUACUUACGAUAAUAUAGUCAUUCUCUCAGUCGAUCCGACUUUAGCAUUGCACAAUAAUCAUCACACGUGAAUCUGGAUUGCAUUGUUAUCAUAUCGUGUUUUCUUAGAAUAUUUAAACAACAGUUCUUAGAUAAGUUUCAUCAUAUCAGUUUAUAGACAUUUAUGUAUUCUAUCAUUUCUUGUUAAGAACUACUUCAUUUAUAUAUAUAUUUGAUUAGUUAAAGUAACAUAUUCCAUUCAAAUCUCUAUUAGAUUUUACAGGUUUUAACGGAAUCAUCUUCAAAACACUUAAUAAUACAAAAUUGAACAAUAAUGAUAUUUUAUGUUUCAAUUUAAUAGACAAGAUAAUAGAAAAUUGAACAAGAAAAUUACCUCAAUCAACUGAUCAGAUGAGAGACAUGUAAUAAAGUAGUCAACCUUAUUUUUGACCAGAUGACGGAAAAAGUAAAUCUUUUAUGUAUGUUGUUGCUUAAUCGAUUUUAGAUAUUUUAACAAAAUAAAAGUUUAAAGUAUAAACAAAUUAAAGAACAAUAUAAAAGAUUUAUACUGCAGGUUCACCCAAAAAAUGGCUAAUUCAGUUUCGAUGAACACGAAAAUCAUUAGCCUAAAGGUUAUGACAAUACCUUUUCGGUAUUUUUCUUCAAGGUUGUUGAUGCUUUGUUCAGUUUGACGUGUUUUAAUCCUCUCCAGGGUUUGUGUUCAAUCUUCCAAGAACUUAGUUUUUCUUCAUCGGUAUUAUUCUUCUCGUUGUGAAUCAUAGUUGGGGGCGGUCUUUCGCGCAAACAUCGGACGAGGUUCCAAUUGAUGAAUACAAACAUGGAGACCACCUCCGACUCGAGAAGCAUUGCACUCUGUUGUCUAGCACGUGUAAGGUAUGAGAGCGUUGCUGCUUGUGACCGACGUCGAUAUCCAAUAGGGCGACGUAAUUUAAAACCCUAGUUUCCCCGACAAUGUAGAGUGUUGAAGCUACCUUGUAGUUUCCUUAAACAAGUUUCAGUUCAUAAGUCACUUUCCCUUCUUGAUACGGAGGAACACAACACAUAGUUUAUUAGAAGAAUCUAAACAUUGGUACGGAGGAAUCUAAACAACAGACACAACUUCUUUAGAUAUUUUUCUAAAAUCCAUUCGUGCAUUCAUUCAAAUCGUAUAUAAAUACAGCCCACAAUUGUUCCAAUAACUCACACAUCAAAAUUCAGUUCAUAUGGCUCGCCGGACAUCAUUCUCGUCGGAAUCAUCGUCUUCCGAUUCGUGGUUCUCCGAUGUGAUGAUUAACAAAGAAUAUUCCACAUCGGAUUCUGAAGACGAUGAGGUAUUCGUCCGUGGACUGAUGACCCUGAGAGAGACCAGAUUCUUCUUCGAUCCGGUGGGGAAGACAAAGUCGAUAUCGAAUGAGUUUCCGUUCAAGGGGAAUCACGUUGAGGUUUUGGAUUCGAAGAAUCCGUACAUGGAUUUCAAAAUUUCCAUGGCGGAUGUGGUGGCUUCACACGGUGGACCUAUUUUAACAGAGGACUGGAGUUUCCUCCGAGAGUUACUUGACUGGUAUCUUAAAGUCAACACCGAGAAGUCACAUCCGAUCAUCGUCGACGCGUUUUCCGAUCUGUUGUUAGAGAUUCUCUCGUCGUCGUCUUCUUUUUUAAUUUCGUAGUAAAUAUCAAUAACCCCCCUGUAAAUCUGUAGUAUUAUAUAAAAACACAAUUUAUAAAAAAAUGGAUUGGGCCGGGCAGUCGUCAAUCAAGCCUACCCAAAACAAGAUUAUUCCUUUCCCCUCCCCCAAGUAACUAAACCCUAAUCGUUUUAAACAGAGGGAAAACGGCAUCGGAGGAAGAAGACGAAGAAAAACCGGUGCAAGAAUGGCGGCGGCGGCAUCAAAUUUGCUCUCCGGCAUUGCGCGUGUAGCCCUUACCUUAGGUACUGGGGCGGCUCUAGUGAAUUCAGCUCUCUACACUGUUGAUGGAGGCCAACGUGCCGUGAUUUUCGAUCGAUUUGGUGGUGUUCGCGAUUCCACAGUCAGCGAGGGCACACACUUUCUCAUCCCGUGGUUGCAGAAACCUAUAAUCUUCGAUAUCCGCACUCGUCCCCAUUCCUUCACAUCUACGUCUGGUACCAAGGAUCUGCAGAUGGUUAACCUCACUCUUCGUCUACUUUCUCGUCCCGAUACCCCUCGUCUACCGACGAUUUUCAAAACCCUAGGAACUGAAUACGAUGAGAAAGUCCUUCCUUCAAUCGGAAACGAGGUUCUUAAAGCCGUCGUUGCUCAAUUCAACGCCGAUCAGCUUCUCACCGACAGACCUGCGGUAUCCGCUUUGGUGAAGGACUCACUGACGAAGAGAGCAAAAGAUUUCGGAAUCAUCCUCGAUGACGUGGCAAUAACACAUCUGAGCUACGGAACGGAGUUCUCUAGAGCCGUGGAGCAGAAGCAGGUUGCGCAACAAGAAGCGGAGAGAAGUAAAUUCGUGGUGAUGAAGGCCGAGCAAGAAAGGCGUGCGGCGAUUAUUAGGGCGGAGGGAGAGAGCGAAGCUGCGAAGUUGAUCUCAGACGCUACAUUGCAAGCUGGCAUGGGGCUUGUUGAGUUAAGGAGGAUCGAGGCUGCGAGAGAGAACGCCGCCACUUUGGCGAGAUCCGGAAACAUUGGGUACAUUCCGAGUGGAGGCGGCAAUGGAGGUAAUCAGUUACUUCUUGGGCUUAACGCCGCUAGAUGAUCAUCGUGUCAUAUUUACGGUAAUUAUCUUUCAUCUAAUAUUGUUUCCUUUAUAAACUCCGGUAAUCAUUUUGCUCCGGCUAUCUACCUCCAUAAACCGGAAAACUCGUGCUCUUUUGUAUUUCCACACUGAAACUGCUUUAUUUUUAUGUUUUUUUUAUCGGAGGUUUUCCUAAUUAAAUGGUAAAUGGUUAAUUUCUUGCCGGUGUUCAUCGGAUGAUUCCGUCGGUGAUGUCACCGAGAUAGAUUGGGCAGUUGGAUUGGAUAUUAAAUUAUUGAAAGUUGGUGAAAUGAUGAAUUUCAGUGGGGUUGAUCAUAGCUGUAAUUUAAAUAAAAAGUUGGUGCUUUAUUUGUUUGUUCUUGAUGAUAAUGAAAUUCUGAUCUGAUAUUCCAGUUAAAAACAAUACCGACAGCCAUUAUUUAUUGUGAAUACUAAUACAGUCUACAGACUAAAACUGCCGGCGACCAUGAUUUAAACAUCAACAGAGCAUCUGGUGAUCUGUUGGAACUUAAACGAGUCGCCCUUCGAGUCGUUUUCGUCGACGGUCAGAAAAGCUGGGCAUGAAACCCUGAUAUGAUAAUGCCCUGACAUCCAGGUUCCAACUUUCCAUCUCACUCUUCCGGCAACCUUGAUAUGAACCAGAACUAAUCCGGCGAUCUUAUCAUGUGCCAUAUCUACGCACAUGUACUCCGCCACCGGCACACCGAUACCAUACAGAAACGGCGACCAGACGUUAACAUCCUUCUUGCCUUGGUAAACGCUGUUGAGCGCUGUCGGAAUUGUCACUUGUUGUUGCCUGUAGUCCACAUACACAUCAAGCUUGUCGUAGGCCACACCGAUACGCCGGUUGGAGUUGUAGGAAGAGAGUGUGACUUGCAUGGUUGUUGUGAGGUAGUGACCUUCAUCUUUCGAUAGUGUGAGGUUGUAAACCGUCACGUCCUGGAGCCAGAACUUGGGCUUGGUCGGCCGGAGAACGAGGAAGAUGAUGAAGAUGGUAAGAAGGAUUAACACUACAAAGAAGAUAAUGCUAAUUAUGAUGCAUUUCAGUAGAUACUCGGUGUUACUCUCCUUAUCGCCGUCGCCUUUCUUAUCCUUUUUCGACAUUUUCACUGGUUAGAAGCUUGGAGUUACAACACCUUAUAUAAUGAUUAAUGAGAGACCAAACUACUUUGGAGUAUUGUGGAAUAAAAAAACAAACAUGCUUUAGUUAGUUAUACCAAACAUCCAUAGGUUAGAAUGUAAAUGAGUAUUGUGUAUGUAAUUUUUAUUUAAUUUAUAACUAAGAGUGCCUUAUAUUUUUUAAUUCGGGUAGAAAAAUCAUUUUUGUACAGUCGUCGAGGUAAAUCUUUUUACUACUGAUAUAUUAUAUGACUUUGGUAUUUCAUCCGUAGAUGAUUUUUUUUACUUGUAAAAAGAUAACAUCUGUUAAAAAAAGAAUGUAGAUAGAUCGUCAAGGUCGGGUAAUACACAGGGAGAAUAGUUCAACUGGUUAUGAUUGUGUUUGAUCAUUCAGAGGUAGAUCUUUUUACUUGUAGAAAGAUAACUUCUGUUAUAUAAAAAAAAACAGAAUGUAAAUGUGUCGACAUAUCCGGGUAAUACAAAUGAAGAUUAACUUAACUGAUCACAGUAAGUCAGUAACUAUUAGAGUUGUUGAUAAUCCAGGAUUCUAAUGUAAUUGUGUAUGUAAUUUUCAUUUAAUUUUCACCAUGAUAUAAUUAAUGAUAUAUUAUGUGACUCUGUUUGAUCAUCCAGAGGUAAAUUUUUUUACUUGUAAAAAGAUAACCUCUGUUAUAAAAAAACAGAAUGUAAAUGGGUCGACAUGUUCGGGUAAUACAAAUGAAGAUUAACUCAACUGAUCACAGUAAGUCAGUAACUAUUAAGGUUGUUGAUAAUCCAAGAUUUUAAUGUAAUUGUGUAUGUAAUUUUCACCAUGAUGUAAUCGGUGAUAUAUUGUGUGGGUUUUUUUGAUCAUUCAGAGGUACAUCUUUUUACUUGUAGAAAGAUAACAUUUGUUAUGAAGAAAAAAACAGAAUGUAAAUGGCUCGGCAAGUUCGGAUAAUACACAUGAAAAUUAAAUCAAUUGAUCACAAUAAGUAUUAAAAUUGCUGAGAGAGUGUGUGUUCGUGGUUUGUAUACUUUUUGUGUAUUAAAUUUUUAUUUAAUUUUCACCAAGAUUUAACCGAUUUAAUUUUCACCACGAAUGUAAACGGGUCGGGUAAAAUGAAGAUCCGAUAAAUAGAAGCAUGAGAAACAUUUUAUUAUAGAAUAGGCAUGAAGAAAAAACAUAAUUGUCUGGUGUUGUCUGAACAAAUUGACAACUCUGUUCUUGAGACAUGGUUGGUUUUAUUUAGUAUCAUCAAUCAUGAUUUUGGAUAAAGGUAGUCAUCAUCUGUACUAUCCUGCUCUGUACUUUUGGUAUCUCAGGGAGAGUAAGUCCAAUCCUUUGAUGAACUCUGACCAGUAAUCAUGUGCUUCUCCGGCUGUGACAGCUUCUUCUGGCGCUGCCGCUCCUCUCUUUUCGGCCCUGUUGUUGUGUUUAAGAAGAAACAGACAAAUUGCAUUACUAGAAAAACAGGGGAACUCUGUUUUGAAACAGACAUACCAGUAGAAGUCGGUUUAGUUUUUCUUCUUGUGGAGGUUUCAGUGGGGUCGAUCUUUGGAAUGAAAACCCCAGUGCCAGUUUUCCCCAGGGGAGCAUUCAUUCUCCGGGAAACUAUAGACGUUUGCUUCACCGGAAAAUUCAUUCUCCGAGCAGCUACAGACGUCCCUCUCACUUCAAAAUCCAACAGUGGAGCAGAAUUGAAACCACCACCACCAUGAGAAGGUGGGUAAAUUCCGGCAUUGUCAUUACUCCAAACCUACAAAAUAAGCAAUUUUGGACAUGUGAUGAUCUAAAAACGUAGGGAGAAAAAAACAGAGCACAUUUCGAGAAGUUUUUCCUUUAAUAAAUUCUCGGAUGGAUCUUCAUCGGAGAACGCACCUGAGAUAUUGGUGGAAAUGGACUUCGAUCAAAUCUUGGACCUCCUUCUACUACUCGACUUAUGCCAUUUGGGUCAAGAUUAAAUCUUGGAACGACACGAUUAAAAUCAAAUCUUGCAGUGGGCAAACCACCACCAUUGCCAUUGCCACCGCCAUUAUGAAGACCGGAGCCUAUCGGAAACCCUCCAUUGCCGCCGUAUCCUUCUGGCUCUUUAUCACGUGUGGCUCGUCUGAUGACCGGACUAAACCUCUGGGAAAUAAAUCAACAGAACAACGUUCCUCAGCUGACGCUAAACAAAAAGAAAAGAAAGAAAACAGAAAUAUAACCUUCAAGCGGAUGGGCACGUCGGAACCUCCAGUUGGAUUGUUCGGGGCAUAAAAAGGGUCAUUCUGAGAUAGCUCCGAUGAUGGGCCAUGAAAUGGGUCAUUUGGUCGUUGGCUGGUCUUGUUGCUGCUGUACUCCUGGUAGAGAUCCGACAGCAAGUGAUAAGUCCCAUUUCUCCGGUCAAAUGGUUUCCACUCUGCCAUUGUAGACGACGGCGAGUUUAGUACAAAUGAUGUGAGAAUGAGAUGGCAACUUAUAAAUAAAUGAGGGAGGUGGGAGGUUACAAAAUGAAAAAAAAACAGAGCAGAGAAAAAGGACUGGAAAGUAAUAUUUCGAAUUUAAAAGAUCUUAGAAUUUGGAUUUUUUUUUAAUAAAUAUUUUUUCAAAUAUCCCUGUAUUUUUAUCAAAUUGUUAUAUUCUUCAGCUUUUGUCUGAGUUUUGGUAUAUCAUUUAGAGAUUUUAUAAUUGUGGAAGGUUUCAUCGGCAAUAAGAGGAAAUUAUCUUCUUGUAUUUUUCUCGUGUUUUCCGACAGAUAAUGAGUUGUAAUAUAAUCAGUAACGGCGUCAUGGUUGGCAACACGACAUUUCCGCGUUACUAAUCAGUGUAUGGGAUGGGCGAGAAGAUUCAUUUUUUGUAGUAAAUCAGUAACAACUCCGCAGUUACUGAUUUUUCGACACGAGUUUUACCAUUUCAGAAAGAUGGAAAAGAAAAGGUUUAAAGAAACAAACACGAUAUUUUCACGUUACUAAUCAGUGUAUGAGAUGAACGAGAAGAUUGGUUAUGGAUAUUUUGACUGAUUUCGACGGUCAGGUAAUAGUUAUGUAGUAAAUCAGUAACAAUUCCGUAGUUACUGAUUUUUUGACACAGGUUUUACCAUUUUAGAAGGGCGAAAAGAAAAGGUUUAAAAAGUUAACACGACAUUUCCGUGUUACUAAUCAGUGUAAUGAGAAGAUUGAUUAUGGUUAUUUUGACUGGUUUCGACGGUCAGGUAAUUGUUUUGUAGUAAAUCAGUAACAACUCUGCAGUUACUGAUUUUUCGACACGGGUUUUACCAUUUUAGAAGGGUGAAAAGAAGAGGUUUAAAAAGGCAACACAACAUUUUCACGUUACUAAUCAGUCCAUGAAAUUGACGAGAAGAUUGAUUAUGGUUGAUUGUGAUACCCUCGGCCUACUGGAAUAGUCUAACAGAAACAACAAAGGACCAGGCCCAUCGGACUGAGUAUAGAUGAUAUCCUUGACCCGUUAGAGCAAUAUCGGAGCAUCCCCAGAUCUAUCAUCAGCCAAACCCCGACCCGACUCGAUAGAGCGACCCAAAAACGUCCCCAGGUCUGUCAUCGACCUGCUCUACCAGAGCGGUCCAGGAACAUUAGGACCAGGACAGGCCCAACCCCGGGAAUAACAGAAGGUCUAUUAAUACAUACCUCCUCAGGGGGAUGACAUGUUAAUACAUGUGCUGGACUAGAGAGAGAGAAAUAAAAGAUUGAAUCCUAAUUCGAUUGUCCAUGCCCCUCUUCAGCCAUACAUCGUCAGUUGAUUUUGGCUGAUUUCGACGGUUAAGUUAAUAGUUAUGUAGUAAAUUAGUAACAAUUCCAUAGUUAUUGAUUUUUCGACACCGGUUUUACCAUUCUAACAAGGAGAAAGAAGAGGUUUAAAGAAACAUAAACGGACCAAAGAAUAAUUAACUUGAUCUUUGAGGUUUACUAUAGAAAGUACAUGUUUUUAGAUAUGGAAGUAAUUAUUGUAUUUUAUUUGGGUUUUGAAAUAAAAAUAUUAUUUUUUAUAUUUUUACGAGGGUCUCCGUACAUAUAAUAUAAAGAUAUUAUUAUACAUUACGGUACGAAUGAUGCUUUUUCAUCGUGUAACGUCGUCGGUCUUGUUCGUAUCGUCACAUCGCCCGUCUGUUAACGUCCAUCGCCGGAGCCGCAUCUCUGUUGCUCCGACCAAGCUUUAUCGAAGAAAGGUGUCCUUCAUUGCUACUAUGGAAGCUCCCCCUCCGGGAUACCGGACGAAUGUUGGGAUUUGCCUCAUCAACGCCUCUUUCGACAAGGUUAAACUUUUUAGGGUUUAUUUAUAUUUUUUGUAAACUGCAUGUUUAUGACUAGAAAUUUCGGUGUGCAGAUCUUCUUGGCUUCCAGACUUGAUAUCCCAAGUUCAUGGCAGAUGCCUCAGGUGUUAUUUUGUUUUUGUUUUAUACAUUUUUUUUUUUAAAUUGUGUGAACUGUACAUUGGUUGGGAGUAUUUUGUAUUCCUUGAUUGGUUUAUAUGAAUAAAAAUAUGUAGAUGGGGUGUUGUUUCUAAAUGAAGAAGAAUCAAUUUGUGAUUAGAACUGCACUUUUGGUUUUUUGUUAGUAUGAGAUUCAAAAUUCGUCCAAAAUGGGAAAAAUUAUGGGGACAUAACUCAUUAGUACAUUAAGACUUUCCUGCAUCAAUUCAUUGAAGAAUUGGUUUGGAUUUUGAUUUGGUAUACACUAUUGUGCGAUUUGUUAAACCUAGAUUGUUAUAUAUUUCUUCAAGUGAACAUUAUUUCAUUUGAACUAAAGAGAAUAGGGCAUUACUUACUCAUUUAUUCCUAAUCUUUUACUUAUAUGCAGGGGGGUGUUGAUAAGGGAGAGGACCCUCAAAAUGCAGCCAUUAGAGAAUUGAGAGAAGAAACUGGAGUAGUUUCAGCAGAGUUACUUGCGCAGGUUAGCAUAUGCAUUGCUUUCUAAGUGAUGUUUAUGGUCAUUAUUAAUCUCCUAAUAUUAUUGCAAGAUGACUUCAAUGACUUAUAUUUAAUGGAAGAUAUUUAAAUUUAUUUUCUUUCUCUUCGAUGUAGGUUCCUUAUUGGUUGACGUAUGACUUCCCUCUUGAUGUUAGAGAGAAAUUGAACGAGCGGUGGGGAUCAAAUUGGAAAGGUCAAGCGCAGAAAUGGUAUGAAUAAUUUCAGGUGUUCCAAUUAUCAUUUAUCGAUAUUGAUAUAAAUAAAAACGGAAAUGAAUAAUUCAAUGGGAUCCUCCCAUAUUCUGUUCAUUGCACAUUGUAUAUUUGUAUGAAAUUACUUGAGAUUGUUUUUCAUCAUAUGCGAUUCUAAAAUUAACUGUGAUUUCUUUCACAGGUUUCUGUUCAAAUUUCUUGGCAAGGAUGACGAGAUCAAUCUUUUAGGGGAUGGUUCUGAAAAACCAGAAUUUGGUGAAUGGUCUUGGAUGACCCCACAGCAAGUCAUUGAACUUGUAAGAGAUCUGUAUUCCCUCUACAUCACCGUCACUCGCUCGUUCAUGUGAAAUACUACAAUAUUUGAUAUCUAUUAACUUGUUUAUCUGCAGGCAGUGGAAUUUAAGAAACCUGUUUAUGCAGAGGUUUUGAAGUUUUUUGCUCCCCAUCUACAAUCAAGCAGCAUAGAGUAGAUAUAUUGACAUCUAUUCAUUUAUAUGUCUUUAUUUAAAACUUUUGAUAUAUGACAUUUCCACUUGUUUCCAUAAUUCUCCAAAAUAUCAUAAUGUUGAAACUUCAUAUUGAACUUCCAGGAUUCUGAUACUACUACUACACAAGCAACACAAUCUGAUCUCCUCUGGCUAUACCUGAGCUAGCCGAACCCUUCCAGUUGUUAAAGUGGAACUCAGAUCCUCCACAUCAACCUUCACAACAUCCUUCCUGUUACCAAUAUCAGCAAAAUACCGACUUGCACAGUAAACCCCCACAGUUGUGACAGCCAUUCCAUAAAUAUUAGUAGUCAGCAGGCGUAUUGGGGUUGAAAACGCAGCUGCCAUUGGUCCACCAAUGAUCGACAGUGCCUGUCCGCUUUGUCCAACCACUCCAUUCUCCACCACGAUCAAUCCAGUUUUGCAGUAAAUCGCAAAGUCCUCACAAUUAGUCUUGAAUAUGUUAUAGCAUCUAAAGCCAGUAUUGAGCAUACGAAUUGCUCUAUGGGUUACAGUAUCAUCUGGAUCACAGGGUGCCAGAGUACAUGUUCCACCACGGGCCUUGGCAAGGAAAAGAGCAGGAUUGACUCCAUACUCAAACCGAUACAGAACACCACCAGAGAGGAAACAAUCUAGACAUGACUUAACUACACCAUGUGUGUAUUUAAGCUGGAUUGAGCAGUUGUUGGGACAUGGAGGUCGAGAGCUUGAUGAUGGUCCAGAGCUUACCAGGAUUAAAUCAAGUGCAGUUCCUGUUCCAACUUCUUGUCCAUGCCCUCUUGUGAAGUGGAUAACUUUGUUAUCUCCCAUGUAUAUGCCUACAGAAAGAUUUAAAGAAACAACAUGCCAUUGAUUCCAGUAAUCACACAAACCUAUACAGUUGAGCUGACUAGAGUAGAGUGCAUACCGUGAUGAGCAUAGACAUAAGCAGUUCGCCAUGAGUAAAUGUGAUCUCCUGGUUUUAGCUUGUCUUUACCAAUUCUGUGAUCAUAUAUAGAAAUACCCAAGACGAAUUAUAUAUGCAACUCUGAAGGUAAGUAUGAACAAGAACUCAAGAAGAAGACGAACCAACCUGUUUGAAAGCAGACCCAUUGUUAAGAAAUGAAGAUGACGUUUGUCUGAUCUCUGAAUUUAGAUAAGAAGUGGGAAGGAAAGUGGAAGGAAUCAAUUCUACUUCUACUUCUACUUUUGUCAAAGGGAGAAGAUACUUGUUCCAAUCAUUUGCCCUAGUGGUAACUGGUAAGGAUUGAGCUAAACAACACGACCCUUCAUUAAUGUUCGAGAGUUGUGACAACUAAAGAUAUGGAUGUCACAAUUCAAUAAUAUUGUCAGAAGUCAUGUUAUCCCUUUCGACAUAGAUUAGAUGCGAAUCCGAAUCCAGCUAGGUUUGAUUGAUUGCAGUCAAAUAUUUAUAAUGAUAUAGCAUCAUCGGCUUCAAUUGAUGAGAUAUUAAAUUGGGAAAUUUGGGUCUUUAGAUUGAGAAUAUUUGUUUUCUUAAAUCUCAAUGUCGAGAACUGAAGAUGAAGUUAAUAAAUAUUAUGUAUACUUUUUUCGAGAUCUUAAUUAUAUAGGAAACGAUUUUGAUGAGAUAUCAUUCAUGGUUUAAAAUUAUUAUCAAUUUUUUUUUGUCGUUUGUGAGACAAUAUCUUGAGGUUAAACCAGUAUCACAUCUCGAAAAAAAUAGAUGUCUCCGAUUAAAUAUCUUAUUUUUGUUAUCUUACCUGAAAACUAGUCCUGAUUAAAUAUAAAUUAAUCGACAACGCUUCUUGAAAUAUUUAAAAUAAGAUAUCUUGUGAGAUAUUGGUAAAUUCAUCAUUCAUAAAACAUUCCACGAUUUACCACCAUUAUCAGUUUUUUUUGUCUUUAUGGACUAUAUCUUAAGGGUCAGACCAUUAUCACAUCUCAAAAAAAACAAACGUCUGAGAACAAAUAUUUUGAUAUCUUAUUUUGAUAUCUCAUUUGAAGUUAAUUUAGGUUGUCAAGAAUCUAUACUGUUUCAUCUCAUGUGUCUAUUAUUUUUCUUUGAUUUAAAAAUUCAUGUUCGAAACAUUUCAUUUUAUCUUAAAUAAAUAGAGCUAGUUUCAAGUGUGCCAAAGCGCACAUCCGUCGACUGACGAUGCAUUAUUCAUCAAUAAUUAAACUCUGUACAACGAGUUGUACGUCGUAUGUUACAUUAUCUUCAAGUUGUACUCGUUACCAGUAUUACGUUGUAUUGGGCCUUUAACGCAUGUGCGUUUUGACACAUCUGAAGUGCGCCUUAAAUAAAUAUUCAUAUGAAUCUAAUCUUACAUAUAGGGUCAGUUUCUGGUGAAAUCCAUUAUAUAAAAGAUAUUUUUAGAACUUAAAUCUCAAUCACUUGUUUCAAGUUUUAACCGUCCAAUCUCAUUUAAUUCUCAAAUAGUAAGUUUUCACCUGAAUUAUGAUUGAGUUUGUCUAAAGAACACAACAAUUUGAACUCUUUUCACUCUAUUGGUUGUGGUUUUGCGAAAAAGAUGAGCCAGCUGAGUGGCGACCUGCCGGGCCAAGUCGAGCCGAGGGGCGAUCGGUCGAGGCGAAUCAGUUCAUAUUUUGGAUUUAGUUUCUUCCUCAUUAAUUUGUUCAACAUAAAUAUCAAAAUAUUGUUUUAUAGUUAGAUAAUUUUAUUAGAUAUGGCAAUAUCCUUCAAAUUGACUAAAUAUGGAUAUUAGACUUUACUCUGGAGUUUAACAAAACUACAAAAGUAGUGCGCAGGGCCAAACCACUCAUAAAAAUAUCAUUUUUUUCCCUCUUCUUCAGAAACCCUAGCUCUGGUUCCUCCCUCUUCCCCUUCUUCUCUUCCUCUUCCCAAAUGCGAAGUUUUUAGGUUUGAUCCCUACUGAUAUUCCUCGUGGACUUCAGAUAAGCUCUCUCUUUCUCAAUCGUUUUUUAUUUGUGUGCUUAGAGGACUCCAGUUAUGAAUUGGGGAUUUUGUGUGGUAUUUUUGAUAGUGAGUUUUGAGAUCGAAGUAAUUUUUUCUUUCUUUCUUGGUAGUGUAGUUCAGGGAAACUGAUCAUGUGAAGUGGUUGUGGGGGGAAUUGAGAAAUUCUAGAUAGUUUUUUAUUUAUUGUUGAUUUAUAUAUUUAUAUGAAGGAAGAAUUUUUAGGUAUUCUCUUGGGGUUUUUUUCUGCUCAAGAAAUUUAAUUUCGUAGAUUUAGUUUUUUUCUGAUUUCAUGGUUUUUUUCUUCUACACAUAAUGGAUAUGAAUUUAUCUUCUGGGGGUAGCAUGGUGCCUGGAUCACUAUAUACUGUUGUGGAUUUGCAAGGUCAGAUGCAUACUCAUCAGCAGCAAAAUCCACAUGGAAAUCUUCAGAAACAGCAGCAACAGCAACAUCUACAUCAACCAUCUCAUCAUUAUGAACAUCCUGGUCAGAUGGUUUGCUCUGGGAUUGGCGAUGUAUAUCCUCUAUCUGGAAGCCAGUUGCAAGAGCAUAACCAGCAGACGUUAGCCCCAGUUAUAGAAUACAAUAAGGUAGAUCGUAUGAAAGUAUCAACAAGCGAAGAAGAUGAGCAUGGUUUCAAUGCAGAAGAUGGGAUUGAUAGCCACCAAGAAUUUAACAAGAUAAAGAAGAAUUCCCCAUGGCAACGUGUUAAGUGGACCGAUAGCAUGGUGAAACUCUUAAUUACAGCUGUUUCUUAUAUCGGCGAUGAUUCUUCAUCUGAAUGCAACCGAGGAAGGAGGAAGUUCUCCAUCUUACAGAAAAAAGGCAAGUGGAAAUCGAUUUCCAAAGUGAUGGCUGAAAGAGGUUGUCAUGUUUCUCCUCAGCAAUGUGAGGACAAGUUUAAUGAUCUUAACAAGAGGUACAAACGACUUUACGAUGUUCUCGGAAGAGGCACGUCAUGCCAGGUUGUUGAAAAUCCAGCACUAUUGGAUAGGAUGGAUAACCUCUCGGAGAAAUCAAAGGAAGAUGUCAGAAAGAUCUUAAGCUCUAAACAUCUUUUUUACGAGGAGAUGUGCUCUUAUCACAACGGGAACAGGUUGAAUCUACCUGCCGACCCUGCUCUUCAGAAAUCUUUGCAAGUGGCUCUGGGGUGUAAAGACGAUCAUGACACCAGAAAGACUUCACACGACGACCUA
RNAcentral lists this long non-coding RNA (42940 nucleotides) under Zostera marina. Its description in RNAcentral is "long non-coding RNA (ZMAR_LNC001673)". The record is from RNAcentral. Lineage: Eukaryota; Viridiplantae; Streptophyta; Magnoliopsida; Alismatales; Zosteraceae.